UGGGGAAUCUUGCACAAUGGGGGCAACCCUGAUGCAGCGACGCCGCGUGUGGGAGGAAGGCCUUCGGGUUGUAAACCACUGUCGGGCGGGACGAGCCGGGGGUCGUCGAACAGGCGGCUCCUCCGACGGUACCGCCCAUAGGAAGCUCCGGCUAACUCCGUGCCAGCAGCCGCGGUAAAACGGAGGGAGCACGCGUUGUCCGGAAUUACUGGGCGUACAGAGCGCGUAGGCGGCCAGGUGAGUCGUAUGUGAAAGGCCCGGGCCCAACCCGGGCAUGCCAUGCGAUACUGCCUGGCUAGAGGCCGGCAGGGGCCAGUGGAAUUCCCGGUGUAGCGGUGGAAUGCGUAGAUAUCGGGAGGAACACCAGCGGCGAAGGCGACUGGCUGGGCCGGACCUGACGCUGCAGCGCGAAAGCGUGGGGAUCAAACA
Molecule: ribosomal RNA, 429 nt
Filed under: uncultured bacterium
Lineage: Bacteria
Description: bacterial SSU rRNA
Rfam family: Bacterial small subunit ribosomal RNA
Source: RNAcentral